AUGGUCUCAUCAUUUAGGGGUACUAGGAAGAAACAAUUUGAUGAACCUGAUAAGUAAGAAGAAGUUCUAAAAGUUGAGAAGGCGUUCAAAGUUAAUUAUUUCUUAGUUGUGGUUGAUAUUGCAAAGGUCUCUUUGACAACUAGAUUCAAAGAACUCAAAGUGUUCAAAAAUAUAUUUGGGUUCUUACUUAGCUCAAAAGACAUGAAGUUAUUGGAUGAUGUUGAACUACACAAAUGUUGUGCUAAGUUCAUAGAAACAUUUUCACGAAAUGGUUCAUGCGAUGUUGAGUUAGAUGAUCUUUUUUCUGAAUUAAGACUGAUGCAAAUGAGUUUGCUUCUAGAAGUGUUAGACGAAUUUCUAUGUUCUAGGAUAGACGUGAAAUGCUCAGUUUCCUUUACUAUGCCUUGA
This 408-nucleotide ribosomal RNA is filed under the name Triticum aestivum (bread wheat). RNAcentral's name for it is "partial small subunit ribosomal RNA". The record is from RNAcentral. Lineage: Eukaryota; Viridiplantae; Streptophyta; Magnoliopsida; Poales; Poaceae.